This is a long non-coding RNA of Erigeron canadensis, 326 nucleotides long. RefSeq lists it as uncharacterized. NCBI's taxonomy places the organism in Eukaryota, Viridiplantae, Streptophyta, Magnoliopsida, Asterales, Asteraceae. The transcript is spliced from 3 exons. The record is from RefSeq and is a predicted model, not a curated record.
ACGAGGGAUGACCGGGUAAAGCGGGCCGAGACAAACAAGACAAACCGGUCCAAACAGGCGGUGGGGACUCAGGGUCGGCGAUCUAUUUCUCUUGCCCACGAUCGGGCGUUGGCCAAGCACCAUAACGAAAAGAAGGAGGGGCCACCGCCCACGUGGGAGUCGACUUGGGCGGCAACCCACAGACUACAACCUCCGGAAGUUGCGUCCCGUCUGGAAGCUGCGCAGGAGAGACAUUCACAGGAUCCUGCACCGACACCUCCAACCUAGUUGUUCCCGGAAGCGUUUGGAUCGCGAUCCGGACAUCAGCGCGGACUAGGGAGGAUUCU